Molecule: transfer RNA, 85 nt
Filed under: bacterium
Lineage: Bacteria
Description: tRNA-Leu
Rfam family: tRNA
About the family: Transfer RNA (tRNA) molecules are approximately 80 nucleotides in length.
Source: RNAcentral
GCGCAGGUGGAGAAAUUGGCAAACUCGCUACCUUGAGGUGGUAGUGCCUUAAAACGGCUUGGGGGUUCAAGUCCCCCCCUGCGCA